Regulatory RNA element from Firmicutes bacterium CAG:103, 98 nucleotides. It matches the Rfam family "THF (Tetrahydrofolate) riboswitch aptamer". From Rfam's summary of the family: THF riboswitch presents a pseudoknot that joins P1-P2 and the loop of P3 and two THF binding. Lineage: Bacteria; Bacillati; Bacillota. The record is from Rfam.
GACAGAGUAGGAACAGCGCGUCAAGUGCGCCGGGAUGGGAAGUUGUCCGGCGACGAAGGGGCUGCGCGCCCCGCGGUGCUGUUGCCGCUUCCGCUGCC